RNAcentral lists this ribosomal RNA (509 nucleotides) under uncultured bacterium. Its description in RNAcentral is "partial 16S ribosomal RNA". It matches the Rfam family "Bacterial small subunit ribosomal RNA", at positions 29 to 507 of the family's 1533-position model. The record is from RNAcentral.
ACGAACGCUGGCGGCGUGCUUCACACAUGCAAGUCGAACGAAGAGCGACGGAAGCUUGCUUCUAUCAAUCUUCGUGGCGAACGGGUGAGUAACGCGUAAUCAACCUGCCCUUCAGAGGGGGACAACAGUUGGAAACGACUGCUAAUACCGCAUACGAUCUAAUCUCGGCAUCGAGGAUGGAUGAAAGGUGGCCUCUACAUGUAAGCUAUCACUGAAGGAGGGGAUUGCGUCUGAUUAGCUAGUUGGAGGGGUAACGGCCCACCAAGGCGAUGAUCAGUAGCCGGUCUGAGAGGAUGAACGGCCACAUUGGGACUGAGACACGGCCCAGACUCCUACGGGAGGCAGCAGUGGGGAAUCUUCCGCAAUGGACGAAAGUCUGACGGAGCAACGCCGCGUGAGUGAUGACGGCCUUCGGGUUGUAAAGCUCUGUUAAUCGGGACGAAAGGCCUUCUUGCGAAUAGUGAGAAGGAUUGACGGUACCGGAAUAGAAAGCCACGGCUAACUACGUG